GGGGCGGGGCUGCAGCUGCAUCUCACACACACUGUCUGCGAAGCUGCUGCUGCCUCAGCUGCAAUGUUGCAUCAGUGCCUCUGGACAAGUGUUUGGGCAGCAAAACCCGUCCCUCACGCUUGGUUCAGAGGGACGGAGUUGUGGCUCCUCUCACUGUUUAAGGAGUGAGGUUGAAGCCAGUGAUGGAAGUGCAGACACAGACACGCGGCUCUGAGUUAGUGUGGGCUUGAUGCUGCACAGAAUGCAGCCGCUCUCAAACUGUCCCUGCAGCAGCAACGUGAGGCCGAUGGGCUUUGGACAAAUGGCAGUGGCCACAUCCCAGGAGUUUAAAAUCUUUCAUCAUUUUACCCCAAUCUUCACACGUGACCACUGCUUUGUUUUACAAGUGGCCACAACCUAUACGUGUUGGCUUCAAUGAGCUGACAGGAACUUCAACUUGGGGAAGAGAGAAAGCGGGAGAGAGCGAGAGAGACUUCACUGAGGACCGUGAUGUGCGCGGUGCCGGGACCCUCGAGUUGUCCACACCAGCCGUCGCCGACAGCACACAAUGAUGUACACAAGCGUGAGGAGUUGGGUUUCACAAGCCAAGUGUACAGCUGAGGACGAGAGCCAGAAGCUGCUGAUGGAGGGAAAAGACAAGGCCAGCAAUGGAUAUUUUAAAGGGAAAAGAGCAUUUUGAUCCAAGUCGCAAUUGCUGGCUCUGCCAAUCAAGUCACUAGAAUCGGGGUGACGUCGGUCUGAAGAGAAGAGACUGAGCUGCAUGUCAACCACAGCGAGUACCACACCGCUAAGAUUCCACACAGGACCUCGAUCUCAACGCAGCUUCUUGUUCCAUCGACGGGACGAGUCAGGAAAGGUUUCCAUUGCUGAGAUCCUUCACCAACACCCGAGCAGUGUUGUCAAUCCCUUGUCCUCCUCCCAGGGCACUCUGCGUGGCCAUCGCAACGGAGACGGUGAGCAGAAUUUUCUUCUGGAAUGAGAUUUACGUUGCCUGUCGGUCUCGAUCCGUAAAAAGACUCAAGGACUCAAAUCAUUAACCGUCAGCUAUUGGUUUAUUUUACUUGCGCAAGAGGAGAUGUGUCUCAGUCAAAGGUUGUGAUCAUAUUUUCAAUGUUAGUCGGCUUAGCAGGAUAUUUAUACACUAAGAUGAUGACUUUUGAUGAUGUGAAGUAGAUCAAUGUGUUAAUCAUCAGGUCUGCUCGUAAUAUACACAAAGACCAUGGCUUUUGAUAAUGUUAAUUAGAUCAAUAUGUUAAUCACGUUGCUGAGUUUACAUCAAUCACCC
Molecule: long non-coding RNA, 1285 nt
Organism: Amblyraja radiata (thorny skate)
Lineage: Eukaryota; Metazoa; Chordata; Chondrichthyes; Rajiformes; Rajidae
Exons: 4
Source: RefSeq, a predicted model, not a curated record